AUGCUCACUUUAGCACACAUACUAAAAUUGGAACAAUACAGAGAAAAUUAGCAUGGCCUCUGCACAAGAGUGAUGCACAAAUUCAUGAAGCAUCCCAUACUUCU
RNAcentral lists this small nuclear RNA (104 nucleotides) under Vulpes vulpes (red fox). The record is from RNAcentral. Lineage: Eukaryota; Metazoa; Chordata; Mammalia; Carnivora; Canidae.